RNAcentral lists this long non-coding RNA (6725 nucleotides) under Physcomitrium patens. RNAcentral describes it as "long non-coding RNA (PPAT_LNC011851)". The record is from RNAcentral. Lineage: Eukaryota; Viridiplantae; Streptophyta; Bryopsida; Funariales; Funariaceae.
UGGGAAAUUCAUGGUUCAGAGCUUUUGGAUAAUACUUUUGCAUGUGCCAAAAUUAGUUACAUGGUGCAGAAUCAUCUUGUGCAUUCUGAUCGUAUCCAGGUAUUCUGAAUCCCUUUGAAUUCUUUCAAAAGCAAUCCUGGGUAAUGCUUGCAACAAUCUCUCUCUCUCUGACGAGAAGACAGGAUGAAACUUGGGGAAACUGGGUGUGUUGCACAGUUAAAACCUUUUGAAUGAUUCGAAGACAUCAUGAAGCUCAUUUUACAGCCUGCGGACGGCGUUUGUCUGGAGGACGAGCUUCACAAAGUAAGUUGAAGCAGAUUUUAAUCUUGCAGAUAGAUUUUGCCAACGGCAUGCAAUCUCUAGAAUCCCUUGAAGGACCGGCACUUCCAGUUAUUUGCAUUUCCAUUUUUAUUUUGGGGUUAUGAUUAUGGAUGAAGCCUCUCACCUGCAAAUAUCGAUAGUAUUUAAUGGAUGAGCUGUUAGGAGUCCUAAAAAAAUAUUUGGAAUGAAACUUGUGCUAUUUGAAACUACAAGCAGUGGUGCAUCCCUGAAGUUUGCUGGAUUGGGCUCUUGCUGCACGUUACAUCAGAUGGCAAUGCUUCGAAAAUGAAAUGGAAUAAGGCACGAACCUAUUUAUUUUAGAGAAACCAAACUGGCGCUGGGUCCUAACCUUCGGAGACUCAUAUUCCCGAUAUGCAAAGAACCCAUGGUUAUCUUAAAACAGGAUUUGAAAUUUCAAGCACAUCACACAAUCCACAAACAAUUCAGAAGAUGCAGGACUGAAACAUUUUCUAUCCAUAAUUUUCUUAUUCUUUUUAAAAUCCUUAGCAAUUUUAAAGUUUACAAGCUAUUCAAAAGUAUUUGUUUGGUACCAUGACCCAAACUGAGUUUGUUUUACUCAUCGGUGAUGGAAACUUCCCGCAUCGGUGGUGGAAACUUGUGGAGAGCUUUGUUCAAUAAUUAACUGACGUCAGUGGAGAAUGUUUCAACCAUGACAGGGCUUGCGAAGCAGCCAACUCCGUUCCAGAAAUGGAAAGAAUGAUGGGAUGGCCCCCAUUUCCGCAACUGAGGUAGCCCAUAUUUUGUGGCCCCAUAACCAUCCGGCUUUCAGGGCUCUGGUUUUGAGGUUUGACCCAGUUUUCAGCCGUCAUUCCUGCCUCGGCCUCACCCCCGCCGAAGACAGUAAAAAAGAGAGGUUGUCUCCCGAACUCUCACUCUCCUUCGAAUGAAAACACACACUUUCACCUCAUUUUCACCAUCACCCGUUGACCUCCUCAUCGUAGUAUGAGUCGCCGAAUGACGUUAUGGUCGUCCCAGUGAGCUCAAGUCACGGCCUCACCAUGCUUCACAGACCAGAUUUACUCUUAUCUUUGUAGACCCUAAACCACCAUGUUUAUUUGCCAAGUUUGCUUUCAAGCUUUAGCGUUUUGUAGCACUCGGGUUUCGCAUUGUAAUCUUUCUGUUUUGGGGAUACUUCACAGUGCGUUGUGCUCGAGCUUCUUCAUAAGAAGACGAUCGAGGACACAACCUUUAAAUCAACAAAAUCAAAACUAGCAACAAUUAAAUCAAAACUUAUGGCUACAAUUGCGAUUAUGAAAUAUCUACAUGAUUUUUUUUUUUUUUUGAUUGGUUUGAAAAAUAUUGAACAAAGGCUACAUAUGUUGGAUGGAGGUAUCAAUAGCAUUAGCAACACCUUACAUACACACAUGUUAACAAACUAUUCAACGAAACUGGUUCCUAACUGUGAGCAAAUAUGUUUGUGUGUGUAGUCUAAUGUGGGAUAUUUGGCAAGAAGGAUCAAGAUGAAGACAUGUGGAACCUUUUUACCAGUCAGAGGGAGCCUAGAAAUCUGAGCUCCCUUCAUUUGGACACACAGGAAAAAAUCCUCCACUCAAAUUGAUAUGUGGGAGAUUGUUAGGAAUCUGGUUAAAUAGAGAGUGUCUACUGAGAUGGCUCUCAACAACAUGGAGACUGGAGUUUAUCCAAAAAAAAGGGUCAGAAUUGAAACUACUUUGUUCCCAUGGUGUUGUUUACAUGUGUGUACAAUAUAUGGUUUGGUGAUUGAUGAAGCAAGGCUUGUUGGAAGAGCAGGCAGUGUGAAAUUAGGGUUAGAAGUUAGGUAGAUAGAUCGAUGUGCUUUGUCCAGGAAGCCAUCCAGCAACCAAUCCACCUGCAUGCCACCCAUUUUCCAAAAAGGUAUGAGUUCACCAUUCCAGAUGACAUUUUUUUUUAUCGUCAGGAAUGUGCCUAUGGUGCUUCUUAAGGAGGUGUUUCCAUGUAACACACAUUGAUAGCAAUAUAUAAAAUAAUAUAUAAAUACUGCUUUUUAGACCAUUUACUGUGCAGCAGUGGCCAGAAUAUGAUCAGCCAUGGGACCAUCCAAAAACAAAGGACUUAUUCAUUGUCUUUAUUUUGAGAUUCCUCACACUCCUUUCUUUACAUGGGGUAUCUCCACCAGUGCCCUACUAAAUGGGUGUGCCAUUGGGUUUGGGAUGGUGGGCUCACAAUUAAACCUAAUUCCAACCCAGGAAUAGGUCCCACAGGUACCCACAGUUUAGUGACCUGGAAGAAAGGAUGCUUGCCAUGCAGAGACAAAAUAUACAGAGCUGAACUAAAUACUGAAGAAAAAAUAAAUAAAAAUAAAAGGCAUUAAAAGAGGCAGUGUUCAAAACUGUCUAAGACUGAAUUCAAAACUAUUCAAGGACUUGGAAAGGACAUCCUCCCAAAAUUCAACAUAUUUAAAACAAUUUGGUCUCUAUUAUGUAGCAUUUUUUCUUAUAGAAAAUAUGAUCAAACUUCCUACACAACAGUAGAAUGCAUUGGAAACUCAUUUUAGACAAACUGUACAAUUAAGAAAACAAUAGCAAAGCCAUGCUAUAUGGUUAAGAUAAAAACAUGGAUAACCUAGCAUAUGUUAGGUGCUAGACACAACAAAUCCAUUAGGUUAUAUUUAAUUCCUCCUUAUGUUCACAUAAUUGUUCUCGUGAGUUUAGCAACUAACAUAUUAUAAUACUCACUCUAGUAGUAGAAGUGAUAGUGUUUCAUUCACUACCCAAUUUCUAGGUCUACAAUCCUUGAUUGCAAUAUACUGAACCUUUACAAUCAAUGAAUUGGAUAAACCUGGCCAUGUUCAAAAGAAAAAAAACAAAACUGUCCAAGGGCAAGUACCACCUCCAACAAAGAAGUAUAUUACACCCCAAAUUUGCCUUCAUGUAGCGGGGCCUGUACCCAUUUUGGCAAUGAGCAGGAGGCAAUGGGUGGAGCAUUUGAUCAUACCAAUUUUGGUUCAGAAAUGCCAUAAAUUUUGGUUUGAGUAUGUUGAAGAGACUUGGUGGAGAUGCUCUUAUUACUUCUUCUUUUUUAAUGUUUUAUUACCAUGUCAAAGGCACAUUACUGACCUUUUGCCAGCCACAUGUGUAUCUGCAAACAUCCAUAUUCUUUUUGUCAGGAAUUGUUGCAUGUGUGUUAAAAACAUGUCCAGGGAAACUUGGAAUUGGGGAUACAUCUCUGGCUGGCAAUCACAGUGAAGAAAUUCUGAGCCAUCAGUUCGGCCAACUUGUAUUGUGUCAAAAACACACAAACACACAAACAAACAAACAAACAUACAUCAACAACAACAACAGAGGCUAUUGUAGACAAUUUGCAAACUGGGCUGGUCAAACAAUGAGAAGGCCAUGUGGCCACCAUGUGGGCAAUUGCAGCUCUCUCACAUGUACCCCCAGUUUCAGAGUGUUUGAUGUACAGAUGGUGGUGGCAAGGAGACCAUAAGCCACCACACAUAUAUUAGAAAAAUGAACAAGUAAAGUAUAAUAGUAUAUGAAUAAAUAAAUAAACAAAGAUUGGUGGUGCAAUGGAAAGUCAUUAAAUUAUUUCCCUUCUCUUUGCUUUGGCAGGGAAAGGGUGUGAGAGUGGUCAACCUGGAUGUGGGGUAUGAAUGGAUUAAUGGAUGAGUGAGAGUUGGUUAUUUCACUCAUCUUCCUCUUGAGUGCACUCCUCAUCUUCCUUCCUUUAUUCUUAAUUGUGGUGUUUGUAUUCACAUGAAUAUAUAUAUAUAUAUAUAUAUAUAUAUAUUUGUAUUUGUUCAUACAUACAAGAAUAUAUAUAUUAUUGGGUGGUUGGGACCUGAUUUUUUUAUGGUGAGCAAAUCAUGUGGAAAUUCCUUUGUAAGUAUGUUUCAACCCAUAAUUAUAUCGGCACAAUUUGAGAUAUAUACUACUUUUAACUCAAUGUGCUGAUGAAAUCAAUCAUUUGUCUAUGUCUGCAAUUGAAAAGCUGUGACCUCAACUGUAAGAGUUGUUGAUGACAUUGUUUUUUCUUUUAUAUCUGGCUGUCUCUACCAGGAUGAGUUGGAGAAAUCAUUUUCAUAAGGAAUCACCUUAUGCUUUUGUUGGUUGAUUUUUUUCUAUUGUUUCAACAUGAUUUUGACUUUUGUUCACCAUCCUGUGUACAACAAGCAACAUGAGCCAAAUACUUCUAAAAGAAACAACAAACAAACAAAGAAUGGAAUGUAAACCUUAUGGGUACCAUGUGUACAUUCCUUUGUGAUUCCUUUAAUUUGCCCAUCCCUUAUAGUCUUCAAUUGGUAAGACAAUUCAAUUGUUUAUUAUGAACCAUCACCUUUCCUUUCUUUUCUUUCUUUCUUUCUUUUUACAGUGGAUUUGAGAGAGGUGGUAGAUGAAUAAAUAUUAAAAUAAAAUUUCAAAUAAAUUUCUGAUGACAAGAACAGUAGAAUAAGCAACACCAAAAUUAACUUUAACACACCAAUCACAACCUUCAUUUUGUUUAUUUCUUUCUUUUCUUUUCUUUUCUAUUACAACUUCACUAAAAAGAUAGUAGGUUUUUCUUUGAACACAUAGUAAAUAACAUAAGAAACCAUGUGGAUGUUUUACCAAUGUGCAUGAUCAAUCAUGUUUUUGAAAACUAGUAAUGUGCAAAGAUUCCUUAGGGCUUGUAGGAGACAAGGUGUUUUGUGAAGUAUGUUGGGCAUUUGUAUGUGAAAAUGGAUGGUGAGAAGGGUGAGGUAGCACCUUUGUCUCACACUCAAGGUUCCUUGUUGCCUACAUCAUCAUGGCUCAAAGUUGGAUAUUCUCUCAAUUAUUGCAAUUUUUACCACGUUGAGUGGGUUUAAGGCUUUUUAUGGACAUUUUUGGGUUAUUUCCAUGCACGAAUUACAUGGUUUGAAGUUGCACACAAAAUCAUUUGCAAACAAACUUGCCACAAUUGUAAACUACUUGGACAUGGAAAAAUACUUUUUGUGAUGAAAGGAUUGUACUUGAAAACAUAAGCCUAAAGCUCACAAAUGCAGUUAAGAAAUCUUAGAGACUACAUGAUUGUUUGCUAAAUAUAAUAAAGAAUUGCACAUGAUGUUGAAGAUGAAAAUUGUGCAUCAUUCUGAAGACUAAAAGAUUUAGGGCUGUUGACUGGAUUUUGAAGGAGACAUUCCUAAAGUAAAAAAAGUAUACUACAAUAGUUAAUACUAAUCUAAACAUUUCAUCAUGAAUAUGAUGUUUUGGGGUUCAUUGAAAAGAUAUUAACAGUGGCAUAAAUGUCUUUGAUUUGGUUAAGAAUUAUCGAUUGUCAGUUUUUAUCAAUAUCAAUUGAUUGUCAUCUAUUUGCGUUUUCAUUGAGUUUUGAAUAUUCAAUUACAUCUUUUCAAUGAACAAGAGUCUGGGAUGAUGGAUACUACAACACCAAACACAGAUACUUUAGAAGUUAUAAAAGAAAAACUGGGAAAACUUCACAUUUUUGUUAACAUCUUUUCAGUGCAAGAGAAGAGUACCCCAUUAAUAAUUUUGAGAAACCCCAUUUGCUUCCAUAUUUCAAGUUUACAAAACUUUUCCUCUUUCAUGAGUAUCAUGUAACACAUUACACUUGACAACCUUAUUGUUGAAUGACCUGUUAAUGCUUGUGCAACAGUUGUUUCAAUGCAGACAGCUUAUGAAAAUUUACUUUCUUGCACAAGCAUUUUUAUCAUUUUUACUUUCAUUUUCACAUCCAGUUAAGAAAUAGGCUCUUUAGAGCAUCUACAAUACACAUGACAGAGCACCCAUCUUAAAAAAAAAGUGGUUUUGGACUUCAUGAAUCUUCUUCAAUUUAGGCCUCCUUUUAGAAAAGAAGAGCAAGUGGUGCCUAAUUGAGUGCCUCAAUGCCUGUAAAUGAAGCAACCUCAGAAUGUGGGUAAGCCUACAGCAUUCCAAUUUUAUGAUGAUUCUCACAUGAGGUCCUUGCUUAAUCACCUCCUUAAAGCAUAUUUUCAUGUAGUCUGUCUCUUUUCAUUUCUGUCUAGCCUGUUGUCACAUGCCCAAGUGAACAUAAACAUGCAUUGUAUUUUAUUUUUUCUGAAAGAAAAUGAUGCACAAAUUUGAGAGCGUGGGGAUGAGAUCUCACUCCCAUUCUCAUCAGAAAAUGCCAAAAAGUAGGAUCCAACACCUCCUGAAUGUUUCAAAAGGCAAUUUGUCUUGGAUGGUGAAAAACCUUUUGUCUCUUGUAGAGCAGUCUGCCUUACGAAGGGAUCAUCGCUAAGAGGUAGUUUCUUUUAAUGUUUGGAAUCAGUAAUAAGAAAAAAAUAAUACGAAGAAAGUAAACAGUGGAGGGAAAAAAACGGAGAAUAGGACACAGCUCGGGUUUCCAGUUGAUUUUUUUGCAAGGUUUGAAUUGCCCAACUCACACUGUUCCUUUUUCAAUGGUUCUUUUUAAUCAAAUAAUGCCUGGCCAGUCUGUUUUUG